RNAcentral lists this ribosomal RNA (488 nucleotides) under uncultured bacterium. RNAcentral describes it as "partial 16S ribosomal RNA". It matches the Rfam family "Bacterial small subunit ribosomal RNA", at positions 28 to 507 of the family's 1533-position model. The record is from RNAcentral.
GACGAACGCUGGCGGCGUGCUUAACACAUGCAAGUCGAACGCGCCUGUCCUCUGGGUUUCUGGGGGGUGGGUGAGUGGCGAACGGGUGAGUAACACGUGAGUAACCUGCCCCCUUCUUCGGGAUAACGGUCUGAAAGGGCUGCUAAUACCGGGUAUUCACUGGUCUCCGCAUGGGGUCUGGUGGAAAGGUUUUUUUCUGGUGGGGGAUGGGCUCGCGGCCUAUCAGCUUGUUGGUGGGGUGAUGGCCCACCAAGGCUUUGACGGGUAGCCGGCCUGAGAGGGUGACCGGUCACAUUGGGACUGAGAUACGGCCCAGACUACUACGGGAGGCAGCAGUGGGGAAUAUUGCACAAUGGGCGCAAGCCUGAUGCAGCGACGCCGCGUGAGGGAUGGAGGCCUUCGGGUUGUGAACCUCUUUCGCCCGUGGUCAAGCCGCGACGUGGGUCGUGGUGAGGGUAGUGGGUAAAGAAGCGCCGGCUAACUACGUG